CCAGACUCCUACGGGGGCAGCAGUAGGGAAUCUUCGGCAAUGGGGGGAACCCUGACCGAGCAACGCCGCGUGAGUGAAGAAGGUUUUCGGAUCGUAAAGCUCUGUUGUUAAGGAAGAACGAGUGUGAGAAUGGAAAGUUCAUACUGUGACGGUACUUAACCAGAAAGGGACGGCUAACUACGUGCCAGCAGCCGCGGUAAUACGUAGGUCCCGAGCGUUGUCCGGAUUUAUUGGGCGUAAAGCGAGCGCAGGCGGUUAGAUAAGUCUGAAGUUAAAGGCAGUGGCUCAACCAUUGUAGGCUUUGGAAACUGUUUAACUUGAGUGCAGAAGGGGAGAGUGGAAUUCCAUGUGUAGCGGUGAAAUGCGUAGAUAUAUGGAGGAACACCGGUGGCGAAAGCGGCUCUCUGGUCUGUAACUGACGCUGAGGCUCGAAAGCGUGGGGAGCGAACAGGAUUAGAUACCCUGGUAGUCCACGCCGUAAACGAUGAGUGCUAGGUGUUAGGUCCUUUCCGGGACUUAGUGCCGCAGCUAACGCAUUAAGCACUCCGCCUGGGGAGUACGACCGCAAGGUUGAAACUCAAAGGAAUUGACGGGGGCCCGCACAAG
This 606-nucleotide ribosomal RNA is filed under the name uncultured bacterium. RNAcentral describes it as "bacterial SSU rRNA". It matches the Rfam family "Bacterial small subunit ribosomal RNA", at positions 331 to 929 of the family's 1533-position model. The record is from RNAcentral.